This 492-nucleotide ribosomal RNA is filed under the name uncultured bacterium. RNAcentral's name for it is "partial 16S ribosomal RNA". It matches the Rfam family "Bacterial small subunit ribosomal RNA", at positions 29 to 507 of the family's 1533-position model. The record is from RNAcentral.
AGUGAACGCUGGCGGUAGGCCUAACACAUGCAAGUCGAACGGCAGCACAGUAAGAGCUUGCUCUUACGGGCGGCGAGUGGCGGACGGGUGAGGAAUACAUCGGAAUCUACUUUUUCGUGGGGGAUAACGUAGGGAAACUUACGCUAAUACCGCAUACGACCUACGGGUGAAAGCAGGGGAUCUUCGGACCUUGCGCGAUUGAAUGAGCCGAUGUCGGAUUAGCUAGUUGGCGGGGUAAAGGCCCACCAAGGCGACGAUCCGUAGCUGGUCUGAGAGGAUGGACAGCCCACAUGGAACUGAGAAACGGUCCAGAACCCUAAGGGAGGGCGGAGGGGGGAAUAUUGGGAAAAUGGGGGAAAGCUUAACCAGCCAUACCGCGUGGGUGAAGAAGGCCUUCGGGUUGUAAAGGCCUUUUGUUGGGAAAGAAAAGCAGCAGGUUAAUACCCCGCUGUUCUGACGGUACCCAAAGAAUAAGCACCGGCUAACUUCGUG